AUGAACGCUGGCGGCGUGCCUAAUACAUGCAAGUCGAGCGAACAGACGAGGAGCUUGCUCCUCUAACGUUAGCGGCGGACGGGUGAGUAACACGUGGAUAACCUACCUAUAAGACUGGGAUAACUUCGGGAAACCGGAGCUAAUACCGGAUAAUAUAUUGAACCGCAUGGUUCAAUAGUGAAAGACGGUUUUGCUGUCACUUAUAGAUGGAUCCGCGCCGCAUUAGCUAGUUGGUAAGGUAACGGCUUACCAAGGCAACGAUGCGUAGCCGACCUGAGAGGGUGAUCGGCCACACUGGAACUGAGACACGGUCCAGACUCCUACGGGAGGCAGCAGUAGGGAAUCUUCCGCAAUGGGCGAAAGCCUGACGGAGCAACGCCGCGUGAGUGAUGAAGGUCUUCGGAUCGUAAAACUCUGUUAUUAGGGAAGAACAAAUGUGUAAGUAACUAUGCACGUCUUGACGGUACCUAAUCAGAAAGCCACGGCUAACUACGUG
This 496-nucleotide ribosomal RNA is filed under the name uncultured bacterium. RNAcentral's name for it is "partial 16S ribosomal RNA". It matches the Rfam family "Bacterial small subunit ribosomal RNA", at positions 29 to 507 of the family's 1533-position model. The record is from RNAcentral.